RNAcentral lists this long non-coding RNA (20171 nucleotides) under Hordeum vulgare. RNAcentral's name for it is "long non-coding RNA (HVUL_LNC002450)". The stretch from base 13551 to 13674 matches the Rfam family "MIR1120/MIR1122 microRNA precursor family". The record is from RNAcentral. Lineage: Eukaryota; Viridiplantae; Streptophyta; Magnoliopsida; Poales; Poaceae.
GUAGGAUUCCUCGUCUCCUCCUGGUCGGCGCACCCUUGAGGGCUUGGCCCUCAAGGCAAGCCUCCUCCCCCUCCCUCCUAUAUAUAGUAGUGAUUUAGGGCUGAUUUGAAACUACUUUUGUCAUGUGCAACUCAACCCUAAACCACAUAGUUCCACCUCUAGAUCGGAUUUCUACGGAGCUCGGGCGGAGCCCUGCCGGAGUAGAUCAUCAGCACCACCGGAGCGCCGUCACGCUGCUAGAGAACUCAUCUACUUCUCCGUCUUGCUUGCUGGAUCAAGAAGGCCGAGAUCAUCGUCGAGUUGUACGUGUGCUGAACGCGGAGGUGCCGUCCGUUCGGCACUAGAUUGGAACGGAUCCUGAGACGGAUCGCGGGACGGUUCGUGGGGCGGAUCGAGGGACGUGAAGACGUUCCACUACAUCAACCGCGUUUCUUAACGCUUCCUGCUGUGUGAUCUAAAAGGGUAUGUAGAUCCAAAUCUCCUCUCGUAGAUGGACAUCAUCAUGAUAGGUCUUUGUGUGCUUAGGAAUUUUUUUGUUUCCCAUGCAACGUUCUCCAACACCGCUUUGGAGUUACCUGGGUCGUUGAGUUUUGUUGUUGCUGACCGUCAACCCCUUGUAUCUACCUUGAGUGUGUGUGGUGUUGGAUUGUAUGCUUGUUGCAUGUGGUUCGUUGAUUUAUUUAUAAAGCGGGGCAAAAGCGAGAAUGGCGUUUUGGCUCCCGGGAGCCAUGGAGGCCUUUAUUUUUGAAAAAUUCAAUUUCAAAUUUUUAUGGUUCAAAAAAUUAUGAAAAAAAUAUGCAUGUAUGUAAGGAUGUAACCGACAUGUGUGUAAAAUUUCAGGUCAAAAUACUUUAAAACGUGAUCUGUACAAAAAAGACAAAUUCAUGGUCUGAAAUGAUGAGUAGUAACAUGUGUUAAACAGCCUCAGAUUUGUCUUUUUUGCACAGCCCUCAUUUCAAUGUAUUUUGUUCUGAAAAUUUACACACUUAUGUAUUAUAUCUUCAUUUAUCUAUGUAUUUUUUUUCAGAAUUUUUUGAAACAUUAAAAUACAAAUUUUCACUGAAUUUAAAGUUUAAAUUUAAAGACCUCAAGUGAGCUCGGGAGCCAAAAGCAAUAUUCGGGCAAAAGCCUUUUUCAGUAAUUAAGUUGCUUGGUCAGGUCGAAUCGAUCUCAACGUGCAUUAUAUAUUUUUAUAUAUGGUAAAAGUCAGAAUCUUGAAUGAAAAUGAAAGACAGGUUUUUAACUUCUCGUUACAAGGGUUGAAACGGAUAAACAACAUGCUCGAUGGUAGACACUGGGUAAAGAUGGGCUAGAACCUAGAAACUAGUAGUAAAUUUUCGUGGCUCGAGCCUGUAAUAGCAGCGAGAAGAGGGGAAGAUGAAAUGAAAGAAGCAACCGACAUAAUCAUUGUGACUUUCUGCCUAGUAAUAGUAUCCAUAGAGGCCCUUAUCAUUUAAUUUUUUCCAAAAUUCCUCAUGAAGUCCGAUAAAUUUUAUUGAUUAACUUGAUUUGUGGCUCAGGGGAUCUUAGUUGUCCAAAUUAAGGCAGGUUGUUCAUUUUUUUCUUUUUAACACGAUACACAGGGGCGGACCCAGACAAAAUUCUGAAUGGGGGCACAUCAUUUGACUAGGGGCACAUCUUCUAUAAAUGUGCUGACUUUGAAGUCUUUUCUUUCAAAAUAUGCACAUAUACAAAGGGAAUUCAAAAUUUUGAAUGGGGGACUGAGCCCCCACUCGGCUGUACUUGGGUUCGUCCGUGACGAUAGAAAGCAGAUAUUCAGACUAUGCACAUACGCCCAUCCCUAUGAACGCAUGCAUGCACACCCUUCUCCUAAAAACAUCUUGAAAAGACUGAACCGGCGCAUCACGUUGAAAGACGAAAUUGCCAUAGAUGCCUAAGGGAAUGUCUACUCCAAUGAUUGCACAUCAUCGGAAGGUCUGAAAUAAAUUUUUAAAAAUACAAACACCAAUGUUAAAUCUAAACUUGGAUCCUAAUUAAUUAAUCGGUUGAGAAUAUCAUUGUCAUCCUAACCAUGUAAACAUAUGUUGUUCGGCCGGUUGUUCAACUUCAGACAUUCCAUAUUUUCAUCAUUUUGGCAUGGCGGUAACAAUCAAUAUGACUUAUGUUGUAUUUCUCAAAUGAAACUUACUACCUGUGUAAACUAAUAUAAGAUCAUAAGGGAAUAAUUUGUAUGGCACCUGUGGUAAGUUAUCACUAUUCUAUAAGUAAAGGAAGCACUACAGUACUUCCUUUGUUCCUAAAUGUAAUUCUUUUAAAAGAUUUACAGAGCAAAAUGAAUGAAACUAUAUUCUAAAGUAUCUCUAUAUACAUUCGUACGUUGUCUUUUAAUAAAAUAUCUUAAAAAGAUUAUAUUUAAGAACGAAGGGAUUAUGGUAUUAGUUCACCUGCAGUCGCCAGUCGGCCUGACUUGAAGUAAGAUCUGCCAGCUUUUAAGCCGUGCAGUCAAGGAGAGCCUGCUCCACAUUUUUCUUCCUUUGAUUGGGCCAUAGAAAAUUAGUGCCCUGCGAGGGGCAAAGGCCUGCUCCGAUCCGCAUCUUUAUUUUUCCUUCGACUAUGCGGUAGCAAAAAAAUGCACAAAAAUAAUACAAUAUUCUCUUUGUAACCUACGCUUUGAUUAGUCCGACUUGUUAAAUCCUAAGGCUAGCCAUAGUGGGGAGUAACAUAUAGUAGCAUAUGAUACUAUUGUAUGAUGAUACCUUUAUAGUGUAUAGCAUCAUAAACUAUUAGGCUGGCCAUAAUGGGGAGUAUCAUAUAAUAGUAUCAUGCAUAUAAUAUUAUUGUAUGAUACCACCUCCAUAAUGCAUAAUAUCGUAAACUAGUAUCAUAGAUGACCUCAUUUAUUGACAUGCAUGACACAUAGUAGCAUAACAUUUAACAUGUUAUGGUAUCUACCUAUGUUACACCAACCCUCUCUUUCUUCUUUAAUUGUGUGUCACAUCAGCAUGUUUGCUAGUUCCAAGUACAUGAUACUACCUAAAUUACUCCCAUUAUGGCCAGUCUUAUCAUAGAUGAUCUUAUUUAGUAGCAUUGCAUUUAACAUGAUACGGUAUCUACGUUACUUUAACCUUCUAUUUCUUCUUUAAUUCUCUACCACAUCAGCAUGUUUGCUAUUCCCGAGUAUAUGUUACUACAGUAGCUAAGAUACCACCACUAUGACUAAGAGGGUGUUUGGAUACUCUCUAGUCAUGUGACUAGUAGUAGUCAGACUAGAAGUUUGUAGUCAGGCCCUGUUUGGAAGGUGACUAUUACUAGUCAGCAUUAAAUGUCUCAGUAUUAAAUUAUUCUCUCUUCCUUACAUUUAUCUCCCUUCCAUUGGCGUGCCCGCAUGGGAGGAUGAGCCCGCAACAGGAUGGGCCCGCCAAUUAAUUAGAGAAGAGACUUUAGUCAGUAAAAGUUGAGGAUGGGGUGACUAGGGACUAAAUUAGUUUUAGUCACCCAUUAGUCAGGGGUGUUUGGAGGUUUACUGACUAAAGGUGACUACUACUAGUCUCUAGUCUCUAGUCUCUANNNNNNNNNNNNNNNNNNNNNNNNNNNNNNNNNNNNNNNNNNNNNNNNNNNNNNNNNNNNNNNNNNNNNNNNNNNNNNNNNNNNNNNNNNNNNNNNNNNNNNNNNNNNNNNNNNNNNNNNNNNNNNNNNNNNNNNNNNNNNNNNNNNNNNNNNNNNNNNNNNNNNNNNNNNNNNNNNNNNNNNNNNNNNNNNNNNNNNNNNNNNNNNNNNNNNNNNNNNNNNNNNNNNNNNNNNNNNNNNNNNNNNNNNNNNNNNNNNNNNNNNNNNNNNNNNNNNNNNNNNNNNNNNNNUCUAGUCUCUAGUCUCUAUUGAUCCAAACACCCUCUAAUACUUCAGUAAGUGGUGCAUAAUUAAAUGGAAGUGAACGAGGGACUGCAAUGAUGAAUGCGAAAAAGCUCACCCUCCAGGAUAGUAGCGCAAGAAGCUCUUGGAGGGAGAGAAGAAGGACAGUAGGGCGAGACAGUUAAAAACUCGACCUAAUUCGCCGGUUGAUCCAUUCUUCCUCAUCCCAUCGACGGCGGUGAGCUCCAUGACUACAUAGACAACCCAGGACGACGAUGACAUAGUUUUUGUGUUUCCAUGCUUGGCAAAGUGGGGCAGUCCAUCCUAUCAAUACUAAGGUUCCCUUCCCCGGCCAAGCGAUUUGAUCAGGCACAGUUCUUUCGACUAGGAUCACCAUCUUGGAAAAUCAAAUAAUCACAACCAUUCCCUACCCGCAACACCAUUAUCUCGUUAGAUUCAAACAUGCCAUUGGUAUUUUGACACAUUAUCUUAUUCAUUCAUCAUACGUUGUACGUCAGAAUAACCUAAUUUUAUUCUCCGGGGCGUUGCAUUUCGUUCCAGUUGCUUAGCGAGCCACAACCACAAUUACAGUGGACAAAUAAUAAUACAAGUCAAACAACAAUACGAUUAUUUCAUCUCCAGCAGUGCCUUGAAGGUCAUCGGCGUGGUGUACUUCGGUGGCCCGUAAUAGAAGGCGGCGGCCGUCAGCUUUGCCGCCUUGUCCGUCAUGAACUCUGGGUCCCAUAACCAGUACUCGUCCGGGUUGUCGCCGUCCGGGUAGCCCCACUUGUUGCACGAUCCCAUAUUCACCAUCCCUACACGCAUAACAACAACACAACUAUAUAUAUAUAUAUAUANNNNNNNNNNNNNNNNNNNNNNNNNNNNNNNNNNNNNNNNNNNNNNNNNNNNNNNNNNNNNNNNNNNNNNNNNNNNNNNNNNNNNNNNNNNNNNNNNNNNNNNNNNNNNNNNNNNNNNNNNNNNNNNNNNNNNNNNNNNNNNNNNNNNNNNNNNNNNNNNNNNNNNNNNNNNNNNNNNNNNNNNNNNNNNNNNNNNNNNNNNNNNNNNNNNNNNNNNNNNNNNNNNNNNNNNNNNNNNNNNNNNNNNNNNNNNNNNNNNNNNNNNNNNNNNNNNNNNNNNNNNNNNNNNNNNNNNNNNNNNNNNNNNNNNNNNNNNNNNNNNNNNNNNNNNNNNNNNNNNNNNNNNNNNNNNNNNNNNNNNNNNNNNNNNNNNNNNNNNNNNNNNNNNNNNUAUAUAUAUAUAUAUAUAAUCAAACAACAAGGCAUAAAUCUGUUGCCGGCCUCUCAUGAUCAAGUAUGUGUCGACGGGUUACCGUAAUCCGCUGGGUUGGCAAAGACGGCAACGGUGAAGUCAUGGUAGUUGCCGAUGGAGUAGGAGAAGUCUGGCUUCUUAGAUGCGAUGCCGGCCAUGAGGGUCUUGAGUGCGGCGUUGAAGGCGAUGGCCCGGUCGUUCAAGGUCUGAUCACAACCGCCGUUGUUGGGGGGCGGUGGAAUGCAGCCGAUGAGACCGACGUUGAUGAUGGCCAGCUUCUUGGCACCCAUGUCGUAGAGGGACGUGACGGCCUCCCCGUAGCUCGGUCUGCGGCGACGGGUAGACGAGGUUGUGGUUCCAUGUCGGGUCGAGGUCCUGGCUGCCGAUGCUGAGGAGGAAGACCGACUUGGACAGGACCUCUCGCAACUUGGCGUCGUCCGCAAUCUUUGCUUCCAUGCAUCUGCGCCCUUGUGUCCCUCAAGUACGCGAGUUGAUCCCACAACGAGAUGCACCGCUCUCCGUUCUACAUGCAUGCAUCUCACAUUUCAUCUCUAUUUGGAUUGUUGCUGAUUUGAUUUUGCACGAGUGCAAUUUCAUCGAUUCAUGCAUUUUUUUUUUUGAGAAAUGGAUACAAAACACCUAGUGGAUUUUCGAAUCCCGGCACCUGCGGAGGCGUAGUUGGCACCCCACAUGUUGACCCCACCGUGAAGCGACAAGUAAGCUGGAGGGCUCUGCUGGAAUCCGAUAGACGUUGCUGGACACAAUGAAACCAACCAAUCAAACAAACAUGGUUGGCGAUGAAGGGAGAAGAGAGGUAUGUGUAUGAUGUGUUUGGCACUUGUGUAGCCCCGUUGCUGAACCUGCCGCUGCUAGAUCGGGAGACUUGAGGCGGGAACCCCUCCUCCGUCUCUACGACGGGCAUGUACCCAUUGUUACCUACGUCCAGCGCCCCGUCGCCAAACACGAACAUGCAUGGCCGGCGGCGGCACCGGCUUUACCUCGUCAUCUGCACCAGCAAACACACGCAAAUCUCACUACGAAGCAAGAUUUGAUCAAAGAGAGUAGAAGCAAUGACCCGGUCAAAAAAAGAAUACAACUAAUGCUGGAUGUAUACAUGAGCGUGCUAUAUAGCUUGUGUUGUGUGUGUUUCGGCAAUAAGGUUGUUGCAAACAAAAGCAAAAUAAAAGUCGGCAAUAAGAUUCCCCGGCCAGCCGGCGCCGACCAAGUGCCGGAUAAGACAAGUUGUGUCCCCAAAUUGUAUAGCCUAAUUAAGCUGGUACCGAUCAGGUCAAAUCUCAAUGCUCAUAAGUGCAUUCAUCAUGUAAAGUACGAGUAUCUAGGUUGCGUGUUAUUCGUCCGGCUGGGUUACUAAUCUUCCUCGUAGUUUGGGUAAACAUUGAUCAUAAAUUCAACUAAUAAAAUGUACUCCCUUCAUUUUUUUUUAUACAUGGCCGCAAACUCAGAUUAUAGAUAACGAGAUAAAAUUUAGAGUGAAUUCCGAUUUUUACCCUGUAUUUUAACUUUUUUUUAAUACUAAUUACCCCGUUUAGUGAGAUUUCAUCCAUUUUGCCCGAUUUAAAACUUUGCGAGCCUUUUGUCACAUCGACUGUUCUUCCCUACCUAUUUUUCUCUCAACUCAACUGGUAAUCGCAGCUUCUAUCGGUUGGUCCCAACCUGAUGGAGGUCGCUCACAUUGCGCCCAACGCACAAGUGCCUAGGUCGUCUGCAUGCCACACUUGCCCCAAAUCGUUUGCAUCACAGGUCCAUGUUUCCGCCCGCAAGCACCUGUCAGGCUCGCUCGAACCUAGGGUUUGGGAUUGUCAGGCCAUGACGACAACGGUGGCGGCGCGAUUUCAUACCUCUUCGAGUAGGGUUGUGUGGUCACGACAUUGAGGCAAGAUACGGCCCCAUGAAAACUGACGGCUUCAUCGAGCUCGCCGACGUCGGCAUGGGCGUGUGCAUGUACGUAACACCACCAGACUAUGCUCAGUUGUUCUUUCUAUUUUGGCGACAUAGUAGGACCCCGUGAGGCUUGCUGAGUUGAUGGCGGGUCUAUGGCCUCCUCAUUCGUAUCCUAUUUCAUAUAACUUUGACCAUCACUAUCAUAGCAAUUUAUAUAUUUUGAAAUUUUCCCGACUCAUACAUUGACGGAUGAGGCGUUUGAUUCGAACAAAAUUAAUAUGCUUAUUAGAAGAUCACAUGUAUCCUUAUUGCCUGCAGCUAGCCAUUGGGCCGCCAUCGUAAUUGUGUCUACUACAAAGUGUGCGACCUACUAGAAAUAGACAGCGAUGGCUUUUAUAAUGGUUCGUUUUCUUUUCCUGGUUUUACAGUUUUUUUUAAUUCAUCUCUAUUCGGUAUUCUCCGGGUUUUUUCUUUUCUCCCAUUUCUUUUCUUUUCUGUUUGGUUUUCUUAUUUUGUUUCUUGGUUUUUUUAUUAGAAGAUCACGUAUAUCAUGUACCUGGUUUCAAUACAUAUUCAUUUUCUUUUGUUUCUUUUCUUCUUUCUUCCCUGAUUUUUAUUUUGUUUUCCCAUUUUUCUGCAUUUGAUUCCUUGGUUUUAUUAUCAUUUCUUUUUCUAGUUUCUUUUUUUGGUUUUCUUUGCUUUUUUUCAUUGUACAUUUUUUGUAUAUGUGAACAACAGUUUACUGUUAUAUGUUUAACAUUUUUUAAACGCAAAUUUAACGAUGUUUAAUAUAUGGUCAAUAUUGAUUUCUACACAUUUGAACAAAAUUAAAUACUUGAUUAACAUUUCUCAAAUACAAGAUACAUUUUUUAGUACAUGCUCAAGAAUUUUCCUAUACACAUGUUUGAUUAAUAGUUUUCAAAUACAAAAUUAACAUUUUCUAAUACAUGAUCAACAUUUUUCCUAUGCACAUUUAACAUAUAUUUCAAAUGCUUGAUUAAAAUUUUCUAAAUGCAAUAUUAACAUUUUUUGAACACAUGGAAAAUAUUUUUGCUAUACACAUUUAACAUUUACCAGAUGCUUGAUUAAUAUUUUUUAAAACAUGUUCACCAUUUUUGUAUACACGAUAAAAAUUUACCAUUUUUUAAUACGUGGUCAACAUUUUUCCUAUACACGCAUAACAUAUGUUAAAUGCCUGAUUACCAUUUUUCACUUACAUGGUUACCAUAACUAUACACACAUAACAUUUAAAUGCUUGAUUAACAUUUUUCAAAUACUUGUAGAACAUUUUUCCAAAUACUUGAUCAACAUUUUUCCAAAUACUUGAUCAACAUUUUUAUAUACAUUAUUGAGAAAUGGCAUCAUUUUUUAAUACAUGAUCUACAUUUUUCUAUACAUAUUUAAGAUUCUUCAAAUGCUUUGUCUAACACUUUCUAAAUGCUUGUUCAACAUUUUUUCAAAUUCAAGCUUGUUCUACGCGGACGUGUGCGGUGCCAGCCCCAAAGAUCAGCCUUGAAUUAGUAGCACACAUGAAAACUUUGCUGUUGCUGCAUCGGCGCGCACUAGAUAGCUUGCUGGACUCAAAAAAAGCCUAGCUAGCUUGCUGUUGAAUCAAUCGGGCACCGCGCCCAUCUGCAUCUGCAUCUGCAUCUAUAUGGAUGGACCAUUAUAUAUGCAUGCAUGGUCAAGUAUGUGGUACGUUUGUAGGUAGGUAUGAUACUGUGUUGGGACCUCCUAUUGGACGCAUUCAACAUCCAAUAGGAUACAUUCACACAGGCAAGCUACUGGGCCGCCGCCGCUAAUAGGCGACUGGGCUAGCCAGGUAACGAGCUCGUUUUUUUUUGCUAUUUAUUUAUUUCCUUUUUACUUUUUUUGUCUUAUUCUUUAUUUUCUUUUGUGUUUCUUUUUCUCUUAUUCCUAAAAGGUUUUAUGUUUUGAAUUUUUUUGAGUUUCUGAAACUUAAUCAGCUGUUGUAUUUACAGAUAAAAAUUAUAAAUAGAUUUUUUUUUUGAAUUUCAGAAGAAUUUCCAAAAACGCAACAAGUUUGAAAACAGGAUCGUCUUAAAGCAUAGAAGAUUUUUUCAAAAAGUACUUGUUAAAUGAUUUGUAAACAAUUUUUGAAGCGGGAACUUUUUUUCAACUUAUGUAUACUUUUUGAAACAUGAACAUUUUUGGAACUUACGUACAUUCCUUGAAAAGGUAAACAUAAUUCUGAAAAUGUAGAACAUUUUAUAAAAUUCUUGAACAUUUUAAAAAUUGGUGAGCAAAGUUUGAACAGCUUUUCAAUUGGUGAACGGACUUUAAAAAAGAGAAACAUUUUAUGUAAAACAAGAACAUUUUUAUAAAAGUGUGAAAAUAACAACAUUUUUUUUAAAUUCAACCAAUUAAUGCAAAACAUUACAUUUUUUGAAAUAUGUAAACUAUUUUUGAAGUGAAAACAUUUUUUCAACUUAUGUACACUUUUUGAAACACUGACAUUUUCUGAACAGAUGUAAACUAGUAGAAAAGGCAUACAUUUUUUAGAGAAAGAAGAUUAAUUUUAAAAAGUUCCCAAACAUUAUUAGAAUUGUUGAAAAAAAUUGUAACAAGUUCUCAAUUUUUGAAUAAAUUUUUAAAAAUAGAAAAUUUUCUUAUAAACAGUACAAUUUUUUAUAAAAAUGCUAAAACAAGAUUUAUUUUUGAAAAUUGUGACAAAUAUAUGACAAAGGGAACAUUUAAAAAAAUUUGUAAAUAGUUUUUGAAGCGGGAACAUUUUUUAAACUUAUGAACAAUUUUUGAACAUGAACAUUCUUUGUACUUAUGUCCAUUUUAUAAAAGUAAAUAUAUUUUAUAGAAUGAAGAACAUUUUUAAAAUUGGAGAACAAAAUUUGAACAACUUUUCAAUUGGUGAACAACGUUCUAAAUAAGAGAAAAAAAUACGUAUAACAGGAACAUUUUUUAUGAAAGUGUGGAAACAAGAAUAUUUAUUAAAAUAUCGACCAAUUUAUGAAAUAAAAGAACAUUUUCUUUUAAUUUGUAAAUAAUUUUUUAAGCGGGAUCAUUUUUGAACUUAUGUACACUUUUUGAAACAGGGGCAUUUUUGAACUGACGUACACUUUUUGAAAAGGCAAACAAUUUUUAGGAAAAGAAGGACAAUUUUUAAAAUUCUCAGACAUUUGCAAAUCAUGAAUAUUUUUAGAAUUGGUGAACAAAAUUGGAACAGGUUUCCAAUUUUUGAAUAAAUUUUGAAAAAGAGACAUUUUUCAUAUAACAGUAAUAUUAUAAGAAUAUUUUUUAAAAAUUGUGACCAAUUUGUGAAAAAGAAACAUUUUCUGAAUUUUUUAAUGAAAUUUUGAAGGAGGAACAAUUAUUCAACUUAUGUACACUUUUUGAAACACAAACAGUUUUAGAACUUACGUACAUUUUUUGAAAAGGAAAACAUAUAUAGAAAAUAAAGAACAUUUUUUAAAUUUCAUGAACAUUUUUAGGAUUGGUGAAUAAAAUUUUAAAGAAAAAAUUGUGAACAAAAACUAUAAAAGAGAAACUUUUUUUUUUGUGAAACAGGAACAUUUUUUAUAAAAAAUGGAAAGCAAGAAUAUGUUCUGAAAACUCUGACCAAUUUAGGAAAAAGAAAAUUGAAAACACCUGCAAUUGUUUUAAUAGGAUAACAAUUUUUGAAAGACGAACAUUUUUUUAAAAAUAGACACAUUUUGGAAAAAAGGAAAAUUUGUUACGAACUAAAGCAAUGAAUAAAAGGAAAAGCAACAAUAAUAUUUUUGAAAAAAAGGAACAUUUUUCUGAAAUCGCAAGUUUUUUUGAAAAUGUUGAACAUUGCUGUAAAAUCCCAAACAUUUUUUCAAUUUAUGAAUAUAUUUGAAAAACGGCAUUUACUUGAAAUUCAGAACAAUUUCAUAAAAGCAACGAUAUCUUAUGAAUUUCAAAAACAAUUUUCAAACAUACACUUAUUUAAAAAAAAUCAACAUCGAAGAAAAGAAAAAAAUAAAACAGAAAAAGAAAAAAAAAAGGAAAAAACGAAACCGAAAAAAGGACAAAAAAUGUAAAUAACGAAACUACGUGCAGAGGAAAAUGGGCUGGCCCAUUUGAUCACGCCCCUGUGCGUUUGUCCGACUAUUUGAUACAAGGUGCGUCAAAUAGGGUUUUCCGUGCUGUAUGUUAGCGAUGGAUGGAGCCAUUGCCAGCCACCAUAUGUCCAUGUAUGUAUUGGGCCAUAUAUGCAAAGUCCGGCCGAUCCACGACGUAGGUAGAUACUCCUCGGCGAUAAAGACGUACGAUGCGAGUGCCGGGGUGGGUUCUGGGUUGCAUAUGUAUAUGUACUUCAGUCCUGGCCCUGCACACUCGCUCGCCUUCUGUUCCAUGUCCGAGAGUUCACAAUUCCAUCCCAUCAUUGCAUGCAUCAUGCAUCGAUCUGAUCAAAGGUUCAUUUGUCCAUGAUAAUUCGCUACGAGAAGUUCCUUGAGCUCAAGGUACACUACCUGCUCAACCCCUCUGUCACCUUUACUCAAUUGUUUGUUUGGAUUUAUUUAUUUUUUGAAACGGAGACAAAAUAUUCGCCUCAUCUCAAUAAUCAAGAAGAGUUUUGAAUAGUGUCACUUGACGCAAACGAUCUGUUUGUAUGGUGUAAUGUACAUGUGCAUGCAUGCGUCUUUGUGUUGCUCUUGUCUCUUUGCUUCUUGCAUUGAGCGUCGACUUUAAGUUGUGCGUACGUGUUCUUCUUCCUUUUCUUCUUGUCAUAGACGGAACGUAUCAAGUGUUCACUUUUGGGUAGUACCGGCCGUUAUCAAGUGUUCACUUUUGCUUUGCGAUCAAGAAACACCUACCGUACUAGCUUAGUUGUCUUGCAUGGUCAUCACGUUGUUCGACCAGACUUGUCUUCCAUGCAUGCAUGCAUGCAUAUGUACUACUCUUAUUCCCUUCGUUUUUAAAUACAAGAUUUUUUAAAGAUUUUACUAUUAACUAGCACAUACAGAUGUAUAUAGACAUAUUUUAGAGUCUAGAUUCAUUCAUUUUGUUCCGUAUGUAGUUUCAUAAUAAAAUCUCUAAAAUGUCUUAUAUUUAAGAACGAAGGGAGUACGUACCAACGGGGUGGGCCAGUUGGCGCCGAAAACGUUUGAUGCUACAGUUCAUACAAUUAAUUAGGCCGAACUUAGCGAUUCAUGGAUGGCUCAGCUCACCAGCAUAUAUAUAUGACGGAUGAGGGAUUGCACAUCGACCUCAAAUGCAUCUACGUGAUACACUUAAACCCGUGCUAUAAUUUAUUUUCCUAGUGAAUGCAUGUGCGUAUGUAUGGAUGUCUGCGUGUGUUAAAAAAGAAUGUUCGUUACCAAAAAAAAAAUGUACACUUCACUAGCGUUUUCAUUUUGGUAUUCAAAAGCGUGCAUUUGAGCAGGUCACGAGCUGAAACUCCAUGCCAGGCGUGUCAUUUCGAUCGAUCGGUCAACGAUAGAGAGACGGAUCAGCUUCUCUACCCUUUAAGGUAAACUUGGGUGUAGACAAAAGUAGCAUAUAGUAGUGGGCUAGUAGCUAUAGGCAUGCAAAAGCAAAUGCAUACAAAACAUGUAUCCAUGGAUCACAAAGAGAGUCACACCUGGACCUGCUGUGUCGUCUUUAAUUUGAACCUAAUUCAGUGCGUGCUUUGCAAGCUUGCAUGGAGCGUUGCACGUCACCACAUGUGUCCAUGUCACGCACUACCACUACAAACUGUUGACGAGUCGCCCGUGCAGUUGGGUAGCUUGGCCGUCUCGAUCGUACGUGCACACACCACACUCUGCGACUGACACAGAGCCGGUAAGUUUAAUUCCAUAAAGUUAUAGUCCCUCCGUUUCAUAAUAUAGUACGUCCGUGCUUUUUACGAUUUAAGUUUGAUUAUAAAUUUAACUCACGUAGGCAAUUGCGACGGGAAUACAAAUUAUACCGUUAAAAACUUCUUUCGUAUAAUUUUUUUCCUCCCUCCACAGUCGUCUGCGUUGGUUAAAUUUAUAAUCAUAGUUAAAUCUCGAAAAACGCGGUCGCAUUAUAUUAUGCAACGAAGGAAGUAUUAUUUAGCGCGUCUUUGGUUCACAGAAUUUAGAGCCAGACAAUUCAGUUAAUCGGGUACUUGGUUACCCUACGAGUAAUGAUUAAUCGGUAAAUUAACCGGUUAAUCGAAUGAAUUCUUGAACAAAAGGAUUGGAGUGCAUGCCCAUUUGAAUCCUAUAAGAUUAGCAAGGAGUGUUUGAUGUCACAGAAAAAGCAAAUGAAUUAUAAAAGGCUAAAGUGAAUGUUAGAUUUUCUAUGAGUGUAGCACAAACGAAUCAACAGAAAAAAAUAUCCUAUGUGGCUCAUUCCUAUGAAUCAAAGAAGCCCUUUGACCAUUGCGAUAAGAUUCCAAUCCUUUAAUUAUUUUAGUCCUAUGAAUCGGAAAAAAUAAAUCCUAUAGAACAAAUGUGAUUUCUUUUAAGAAUUUAAAUUCUUCAAAAAUUCUAUAGAAUUGCUUUCAAUCAAAGGAGCCCUUUGUCCACUGCGACAGUGAAACUCUCAAAUGGUACUACUCACACACACAAAAAAACGACACAUGAUUUUUCUUUUCAAAAAAUAUACUACCUCCGUCGGAAAAUACUUGUCCUAUAGAUGAAUGUAUCUAGACUUAUUUUGAUUAUAAAUACAUCCAUUAUAUCCAUUUUUAGGACAAGUAUUUCCGAACGGAGGGAGUAGAAUAUAUGGGUACAACAUGCUACGUGCACUAAUCCUCCUCAACUUUAGUGUCUUUAUUUUAAUAUCUCUACAAGUAGGAGUACAGUAUACUAUACUCCCUCCGGCCUCCGUUUCUAAAUAUAAGACCUUUUAAAGAUUACACUAUAAACUACAUACAAAUGUACGUAGAUAUAUUUUAAAGCGUAGAUUCACUCAUUUUGCUUCGUAUAUAGCUAGUCUAUUAAUGGAAUCUCUAAAAUGUUUUGUAUUUAGGAACGGAAGAAGUAGAAAAGAGUCUCCAUGCAUGUGUAAAUCUUCCGGUGACGAAAUGUUUCAAGCGCAUGCAUACGUCCUCUACGGUUAAUUUUAAAUUUGUUUGGCUCUCCCCAGGUUCAAAUUAGAUGCAUGGUUCGCCAACGCGACGCAGCUUUCGAGGCGAUAAAGGACCCCAAACGCAUAUGCCAUGAUCAAAAACGAAAAGAGAGCUCGCUCAUCGUGGUAUGCAAAUUAAAGCUGCCUGCCUUAAUUUCCGUGCCGGCACGCAUGCAUGCAUGCAUGAGAAACGAUCAAGGGCAUCGAAUUCAGUCCAAACCCUUUUUCCGUUCGAACAAGAGAAUAUACUCCUGAUUUUGGUGUCCGGUUGUUCCCUUGGGUUCGGACAGUAGCGACAAUGAACUAAGCAUAGUAUGGUCAGAUCAUAUACUUGUUCAUCCCUUAUUACGGCAGAUCAUAGUAUGGAGGCACGCAUAGUAGCUUCUUCUGUUGUUUCUUCUCUCUCAAAAAAAAGUAGCUUCUUCUGUUGUUGUUGUGUAUUCUACGGGCAACCUAUACCUAGCCAAGUACUAAGAGAUUAUGCGUUACAUAUUCAAAAAAUUACACCAUUGUAUGUGCAUUCAAAAUUUGUUUCGAACGGUGGGUCAUAGCUUUAUUGAUGGUUAAAGUUUGACUGAAAAUACGAGGGGGUCAUGUAUGUAUACCGCAGGAACAUAUCCAGUGCACUGCAGCAUUUGUUGCUACCAGCACGCCGACCUUCGUCACUUCACUUUAGAGGCAUAAAUAAAUGAUGAAAAACUGGAGUAUCUACUAUGGUACAAUUUUUUAGACCCAAAUUCAAGUCUUUUUAGAGAUUUAUUAUGAAUUACAUACGAAGAAAAAUGAGUGAAUCUACAUUCUAAAGUACUCCCUUAGCCUCAAAAUAAGUGAUUUAACUUUGUAUUAACUUUAAUGCAAAGUUGGGUCAUUUUUUAGUUAUUUAUUUGGGAUGGUGGAAGUAUGUCUAUAUACAUCCACGUGUAGUUCAUAGUGGAAUGUCUAAAAAACUUAUAUUUAGGAACAAAGGGAGUACAUAUGAAGACCGAACGAUGCCUUGAGUUCGGCCUGUUUGCUCUAUCAUUGAUGAAUCUAUCAUUUGCAUUUCUUAUACUAUUUUUCUAAUUUAUGUCUCAGAUUUUGUACUACAAUGUAUAGAUUUUUUGGAGUUUUUUUACAUUUGCAAACUGUUUUCCUUUUAAUCAUACGACCGUUAGCACCAAAUAACCCGGUGCACUGGAUACUUUGCAUAUUAACAAGUUCAGAGUAGUCCAAGUAUAUGUGGUUUCUUUUUGCGGAGAAAGAAGUCAAAAAUACGCAGGUGGACAUGGUUCUAUGCACACUCACGUGAAUUAUAAAUUCAAAAACUUUAAGAAAUAAAAUCUGAAAUUUGGGCCUAUCAAAUUUGAUCAACCAUUCUACUCAUGUUUGAAGUUUCGUUAAGGAUUGGCACCGGAGGUAUAUUUUGUAGUGAAGAAAAUAUAUAAUCUGACAUUAUAUUCCUUCAAAUUGUGUUUUCAAAUAUAGUUUGAUUUUGUCUAUUUUGCCACAAAUCCCAUGGAUGUCAUUUCUUCAUGAAACUUCAUACACAAGCAUAUCAGUCGAUUCAUGUAUGUCAUAAAAAAUCAUUUUCAAUUUUUCCUAUGAAUGUACUAUUCAUAAGGGUUCCUAUGGAACCAUGUUCCACAAAUCCGCGUUCCAUGGAACAAAUUUUCCUAUGGAACAAUCUUAACCAUGUUCCACAAAUCCGCGUCCGGAAAGAAGAAGUGUCAUUUUUUACAACUACUUUGAAAUGUAAUUAUUAAUAGCCAUGCAAACAUAUAAACAAAAGGGGUUUUCUCUGAGGAAAAAGAUAUCAUGUAUGGAUUAACACAACCAAAGGAGUAGCAUAUUGGGCAGUACUGUCAACCAUAUACUAUUUGUGUGUUUGGUUGCUUGCAUCGAUUUUGGCUGCAUUGCAUGUACUUCUUAUAUGGGCCCGCUUGAGGAAAAACAACCUCUAAACUACGAUCUCCACAUAGUUUGGUUGCGCGCAUAUAGGUUAGUUGCACGAGGAAACUAAUUUUGACACGUUGUUUGGUUGGCUGCAUUGCAUUAGGCACACAUAGGACACGUUGUUUGGUUGUAACCUACAUUUGAUGCUCUCAUCACUUUUCACUAGUGAUGACCUUAUCACACACAAUCUUAACCGUUUCACUCCUAACUACGAAACAAUUCUUAGCUACUAUCAAUUGGUAGUAAAUAUUAUUAAGAGUCGUAUGGCUGAAUGGGAGAAGUUCAUGAUCGAUGCUAACUAGAUGGACUUCCAUCCUCUUCCUCUUCUGCUACUACUGCUAGUUCUUCCUCUUCCUCUGCUUCUGUUGUUGAUGCUCCUUCUGCUUCUUCCUCUUCUUCUGUUACUACUCUUGCUCUUCUUCUUCUUCUCGUCCUUGUUUGACCUAUGUUAUCCCACAUUACAUCUAUCUAGUCCAUGAUUCUGUUCUUCCAGGCUUUGUUGGCAAAUGCAUCCACACCAUGGCCAUCGAUGUCAACACCGUCAUGCGUCACAACUUCCUCCUCGGUUCACCAGAUCAUCACAACCAUGUUGCAGGAUCUAGUUAUGCAGAAUGCAACAAGCAAGAAUAAGCUUAACCUGAGUGGGGAAAGUAUGGAAUGACUUUCUGAUUCGGGGUCUUAAACAUGUUCUUUAGAGCUCCAUAUGACAUCUCAACAAUUACUCUAAGACUGGAGUGUGUGAGAUUGAACGGCUCCUCUGAAGUCCUAGGAUAGUUCCUACGAGAGAACUCAUUCAGAUGGUACCUGGUUUUCCUAAAGGGUGAAAAGAUACCUGACUGACAUGCAUAGCUAGCAUCUCCUAGGUAGAACUUGCCAUCAGGGGUGUUGAUAUGCCAUCAGGACAACUCAUGUUGCCACUGAGUAUGUUAGCAUCAUGUGCUGGCCGUUCCCAACCGACAAGCACAUAUGUGAACUUCAGAUCGAAGUGAACAGAAGCAAGGAUAUUAUGGCUUGUGUACUGCAGCAUAUUCUGACCUCGGCACUCUCGCAUUGACAUGAGUACCAUCUAUUGUCCUAAUUCAAUCUUGAAAUGACAAUACAAGAUUGUGUUAGUGCUCACCUUGAACAAUCCAAACAUAUCAAGCCAUGGACUACAUGUUGUUAGUGCGCAUCUUGAAGUAUGUAUACCAUCUUGGGCUAGUGCGAACCUUGGUAGGAGUCCAGUCGGUUGGUACCUUGAUCACCUCUCCACUGAGCUCCCCAACAACAUAGCGCACUUGCUUGAAGUAAUUUAAGAUGGUCUUCAAUGAUUUAUUGAACGUGUUGUGUUGUGGAUAACAGUGGUGUAGCCAGGAUUUUAUGUCAGGAUGGUCCAAUUGGCACAAAAUAAAAUUUACACCACAAAUUUAACAAACCAACACAUGCACACAGAAUAUAUCCAAAGCACAUAUCAAUAAGGUCUUGCAAAGCAUAUUAAAAUUCAUGUUCAAGUCUUACAUUUGCAUAAAAUAUGACACACCUUAUUUGUCCUGCAUCAGAACUCUCUCUUGCACUGACUCUAAGGUUUGUUGUUCCUCUGCGGGCGCUACCAGUGUCGAAGAAGGAGGUGAAAAAGGAGCAGCCACCUUCUUCUUGGAUCCAUAUCUCAAAAAAAGUGAUGCAAUGUCUCCUGUCCGCUUCAUUUUUGCAACAGUUCUACAAAAAAGUUAAUACAUUAAUUCAGUUGGAACAACGCCCUAAUGAUUCAAUCGGUUCAAUUGACAAAUUAUCAAUUGCAAUUUUUUUUAAAGCUUGCACUCUCAACAAAUCGUUCAAAUCUUCAGACCAAAAGGAAGGCGUUCUUUGAAUUAGAGAAGAACAAAAAUCUUACGGGGCUAUACACAGUCGGUUGUACGCAAUGGUCGGCUGUACACAACCUUACGGCGAAUGGUCGGCGACUCUUGGCUUUGUUGACUUCGAUCGCCCCCACAAGUGAUUCAUCGGAAGAGAUGUACACAGUUGUUCUUUGAAUUAAAAUCUUACAGGGUUGUACACAAUUUUACGGGGCUUUACAUAGUUGUUCUUUGAAUUAGAGAAACACUGGUCGCCGUGGUCGGCUGCACCUAUGCGUGCGCCUCGUCGGCCGCCUGGACGAGUGGACGGGCGUCCUUCGCCGGCCGCUUGGCCGUCACUGUCGGUGGGUGCCCUGUUGAAGUGUCGGCCUUGCGCAGUUGCCGCUAGGGUUUCUAUCGAGUAGACGAGACGACGAGUCGAUGAGGAGUCUGAAACGAUCAGCGCAAGUUGAGACGGAAGAAACGAGGCAAGGCUUUGCAUGUACAUGGGCUGACCUGACUUGGGCCUAGAUAUGUUUAUUUUUUCUAGAGAAGUACUAAACUAAUGGGCCAAAUUUUAGGGUGGUCCAUGGACCACCCUGGCCACCCUACAGCUACGGCACUGGUGGAUAACACUGAACCUCUGGUUAUGACCAACAACAUGAAGAAAGAUGGCCACUUGAUCUUUCACACUGGUGUGGAUGCUCUCUUGUAGCAGCCGCUGCUCCUGAAGGUUUGGACAAGUCUGGCAAAUGGUUAUCUUUUCAUUCAAAGCAUUCACAGAGCCUUUGCAUCAUUGCAGUUGUAGAUAUUGUUUAGAUUGACGAUCCUCUCCUGCUCCGGCAUAAAGAUUGAAGCAUAAGUGAUGAGAUGAUAGGUCUAUGUGUGCAUGAACAUGGGCCAUGCGUGGAUCACACCUAUCAGUGGUGUUGCGUGAACUAUCAGUCGCAUUCGUACGCCCAUAACAUAUCGGUGCCGUCGUCGUUUGCUUGUUUCCCUGGCAUCGAAGUCCGCGCUUCUCAACCUAUAAACAGUUCAAACACAUAAGCCUCUUCUUUUAGACUAUGAAACGGGAGAACCAACCCUAGAGAAGAAAUACUUAGAUGCUUGCUUUUCCCUUGACCCGGCACUAUUCUCAUUUCCACUUCCCCCCAUAAUGAUAUCAAGAACGGGCCCUUGCUCGAGAGAAUUCCCUUUCCCUAGCCUCCUUUCUAUCUCCCGGCAAGCAAAUAGGCCUUUCCACCUCAACCUAUGAACCAGUCAAGCAAACUCCAAUCCUAAGAAACAAGGGAAGAUAUUACGAGAACCCAUCCUUUCCUGAUGCUUAUCCCAUCCUAGGCAGUACCACACCACAAUUGCAAGCACAACCACAAGCACAACACAAGUGGACAAUCAAAAGCAAUACAAACACAUGCAUGCCAAGAACUAUCACAAGUCUUCACACACAGGCAAUGGAAAUGGAUCUGAUCUCAUGCUCAUGGGGGGAGGAAUCCUACUAGAAUAACAAACAAGAAAUAGGGAUUCCAAUAAGGAAGUAUGACUAGUCCUAUAUAGAUUACUAGAAAGAAGCAGGCUUUCCAAUGACUAUGACUAUCCCUACAAUCAUGGAUACCUCUGCUAAGCUUUACCAACACAAAUCCCUACCUACUAGAAUACUGUCAUGACUCUACCAGCUACCUAUACAUUCCCUUUCACUUGCCUCAACACCUUGAGCUUGAGCUUCCUACCUUACACUUGCUACCUCUACAUAUACCUCCUUUGCCCGCCCUCCUUUACCAUUCAGUUUCACUAGAAGCAAACCUUUCCUUGAGCUUUCGAUAUUUGAAUUAGGGGAUACAUGAAUUCGUAAUCCUCCUUUCCCGGCUUAGGGCUAUCUUUUGUAAAGGUACAGAUAUAGGUUCGUAUCCGGUUUAUGGGCUCUCCCUGAAAGAGUGAGUAUAGAAUGGGUGUUGGGAUUUCCUUGAGUCGAAAGGUCCCUAGCAAGAUAAGUCAAUGUAGUAGUAGCCCCUGUAGAUCACUAUCUGCAUAUCCGGUAUUGGAAUCGGUAAAGCUUCCUUCGUUGAAAGACGGGGUGGGAAGGGAUGUGAUCUCAUUUAUUUGAUUUUAGUUGUGGGUAUAUCCAAGUAAAGUGCUUUUGUUGACUACUUUCCUCAAAUAACUAGUCGCUAAUUCCCAAUCCUGGUCGAUCAAUCGAGGAAAGAUCGGAAAAGAAUAGCAAAUAAUUCCUCGGUUUUGGAGAUAAGAGCUGUGUAGAGCAGCAGUAUUGAGCAGUCUUAAAAGAGCCAAGAAGAGCAGAGAAGUAGUUGAGAAGUAAAGGCUACAGGUGCGGGAUCCUUCGAAUUCGAAUAUGAUGAUGGGAAGUGAGCUGUCUUCUUCCUAAAGAACUAUAACCAUAUCCUCGAAAAC